Molecule: long non-coding RNA, 401 nt
Filed under: Gallus gallus (chicken)
Lineage: Eukaryota; Metazoa; Chordata; Aves; Galliformes; Phasianidae
Description: lncRNA (ENSGALG00010009278.1)
Source: RNAcentral
CAAAGUUGCAGAAUCACAGAAUCAAACGGGUUGGAAGGGACUUCAAGAGAUCAUCAAGUCCAACCUCCUGCCAAACCAGUUCCCAACAAUAGGUUGUGCAGGAAUAAAAGAUCUUGGAGGAGUGCAGAGAAAAACAAGAAAAAAUGCCAUCAAAUUCUCCGUAAUAUCUCCCUAGAAAGAAGAUAUUUAUGCAAGUGGAUACAAGUCUGCCUACAUUGGCAGCAUAAAGACCUUUAAACUCCUUAGAUCAAAAUAAGAUCACAAUGAAUAUUGACUCAACUUGCACCUGACUUGUUUAAUACUAGCUCCUCAUCAGGGAAAACUAGUCUAUUUUGCCUUUGACUUCAUAGCCAUUGUUUGACAAUUCAGAGGGAAUCAUGAAGGAGGGCACCCAAGGGAGA